Molecule: ribosomal RNA, 429 nt
Filed under: uncultured bacterium
Lineage: Bacteria
Description: bacterial SSU rRNA
Rfam family: Bacterial small subunit ribosomal RNA
Source: RNAcentral
UGGGGAAUAUUGCGCAAUGGGCGAAAGCCUGACGCAGCCACGCCGCGUGAGUGACGAAGGCCUUCGGGUUGUAAAGCUCUGUCGCGAGGGAAGAAAUACUUGGAGUUAAUAACUUCAGGGGAUGACGGUACCUCGCAAGAAAGCACCGGCUAACUCCGUGCCAGCAGCCGCGGUAAUACGGAGGGUGCAAGCGUUGUUCGGAUUCACUGGGCGUAAAGCGUGCGUAGGCGGCCAAGUAAGUCGGAUGUGAAAGCCCAGGGCUCAACCCUGGAACUGCAUCCGAUACUGCCUGGCUUGAGUGUGGGAGAGGGAAGCGGAAUUCCUGGUGUAGCGGUGAAAUGCGUAGAUAUCAGGAGGAACACCGGUGGCGAAAGCGGCUUCCUGGCCCAAUACUGACGCUGAGGCACGAGAGCGUGGGGAGCAAACAGG